UAAUUAGAGGAAAGAUUUGUACUGAUUGCAACCUCAUUAAAAAAUGCUAAAGCAGGACUU
Flavobacterium rivuli is the source of this 60-nucleotide regulatory RNA element. The record is from Rfam. NCBI's taxonomy places the organism in Bacteria, Pseudomonadati, Bacteroidota, Flavobacteriia, Flavobacteriales, Flavobacteriaceae.